CAGCCGCCGCGGGAAUACGUAGGGUGCAAGCGUUAAUCGGAAUUACUGGGCGUAAAGCGUGCGCAGGCGGUUAUAUAAGACAGAUGUGAAAUCCCCGGGCUCAACCUGGGAACUGCAUUUGUGACUGUAUAGCUAGAGUACGGCAGAGGGGGAUGGAAUUCCGCGUGUAGCAGUGAAAUGCGUAGAUAUGCGGAGGAACACCGAUGGCGAAGGCAAUCCCCUGGGCCUGUACUGACGCUCAUGCACGAAAGCGUGGGGAGCAAACAGGAUUAGAUAUCCCUGUAGUCCCUGUCUCUUAUAC
This 301-nucleotide ribosomal RNA is filed under the name uncultured bacterium. RNAcentral describes it as "partial 16S ribosomal RNA". It matches the Rfam family "Bacterial small subunit ribosomal RNA", at positions 509 to 807 of the family's 1533-position model. The record is from RNAcentral.